UACGGAGGAUCCAAGCGUUAUCCGGAUUUAUUGGGUUUAAAGGGUGCGUAGGCUGUUUGAUAAGUUAGAGGUGAAAUCCCGAGGCUCAACCUCGGAACUGCCUCUGAUACUGUCUGACUAGAGAAUGGUUGCUGUGGGCGGAAUGUGUGGUGUAGCGGUGAAAUGCUUAGAGAUCACACAGAACACCGAUUGCGAAGGCAGCUCACAAAGCCAUAUCUGACGCUGAGGCACGAAAGCGUGGGGAGCAAAC
This 250-nucleotide ribosomal RNA is filed under the name uncultured bacterium. RNAcentral describes it as "partial 16S ribosomal RNA". It matches the Rfam family "Bacterial small subunit ribosomal RNA", at positions 524 to 773 of the family's 1533-position model. The record is from RNAcentral.